This 85-nucleotide transfer RNA is filed under the name Candidatus Uhrbacteria bacterium. RNAcentral's name for it is "tRNA-Thr". It matches the Rfam family "tRNA". Rfam says of the family: Transfer RNA (tRNA) molecules are approximately 80 nucleotides in length. The record is from RNAcentral. Lineage: Bacteria; Candidatus Uhriibacteriota.
GCCGAUGUAGCUCAGCUGGUAGAGCAAUGCUUUCGUAAANNUCGUAAAGCAGAGGUCGGCGGUUCAAAUCCGCCCAUCGGCUCCA